UUUUUUUAUAACUUUUACAUCUUUCCUUUUUUUUAUUUCUUCCCUUUUUUUUCUUUUUUUUUUUUUACUCAAACAAGCUUUCAUUAGUUAUCCGGUGGAUUUGAUCUCAUCGAAAUGGAUGAACUUCCCUCUAUAUCUCAUAUCUCAUUAUUGAGCUUAUUGAUACUUCUAGGGUGCUUUGGUUUAGAGUUUGACUGUGUGUGCAUAUGGAUACAAAAAUCCACGAGAAGAUUCUGAGGAAAGCACAUAGUUUCCCUUAUAAAAUACAUCCUGGAGGUACUAAGAUAUAUAAGGAUUUAUAAGUGCAAUGCUAAUCCUUCAAUUUGGAUAAUAGGAGUAAUGUUAUCUAUUUACAAAAACAUAAAUAGGAAAGACUUCUUUAAAAAAAAAUAAUCCUAUAAAAAUUUUUAAUUUGUCAAAUAACUCAUCUAAAAUUCUAUUUGGCCAACUAACCCUUCUUUUGCCAACUCGGUACUAUAUUGGACAAAAAUGACGUUUUUACGUCUUUAGAAAGCGAUGAAUCCUUCACUAUUUUUAUCUUAUUAUUAUCGCUUUUUUAUAUAGGUUGUGCGAAUUUUUGCGAGCUUGUUAGGAUUAUAUGUAAAUUAUUAGAAUUUUUGCUUGAUUGUUAGGAUUGUAUGGUAGGUUGUUAGGAUUUAUUAGGUUUAAUAUUGAAUGCGAUUUAUUGAAAUUUGUAUACAAUUGUUAGGAUUAUAUAUAAAAAACAAUAAUGAAUGAUAAAUCAUUCACAAAUGAAAUGUGGACUUGAGUGUACAUGAGGACAUAUUGGUAGAGACAUACAAUUGAGUUAAUUGAUUAUAGACCUUGACAUCCAUAUAUGGUACCCCACCUUGAGUAGUUGUGAGAGAUUCUAUAUUUUAGACAUGAUAAUUGGGGACGAUUGUCUCAGAUUAGAUACUUAUGAUUAUGCUUGUUGGCCAUUGUGCUCAUUUGCACAAGCUUGUGAGAGUCGCUCCCUACAAGCCGGCACUCCGGAGUUAGCCCAUGCUACAGAUGCUCGCCCAUGCUGGAUUGGGUGCCUACUGGAUCGCCAUGGGACAGGCUCAUUCCUAGAGGAAAA
RNAcentral lists this long non-coding RNA (1081 nucleotides) under Ananas comosus (pineapple). RNAcentral's name for it is "long non-coding RNA (ACOM_LNC030588)". Lineage: Eukaryota; Viridiplantae; Streptophyta; Magnoliopsida; Poales; Bromeliaceae. The record is from RNAcentral.